Molecule: non-coding RNA, 977 nt
Filed under: Stegodyphus mimosarum
Lineage: Eukaryota; Metazoa; Arthropoda; Arachnida; Araneae; Eresidae
Description: Eukaryotic small subunit ribosomal RNA
Rfam family: Eukaryotic small subunit ribosomal RNA
Source: Rfam by way of RNAcentral
UAAUUUACAGAUUUUUAAAAAUGUGUCUUUUAUCGUAGAAGAGAUUAUAAGGCUAUCCAUUGGAAAACGAACGUUUUACAACCAUCUGCUGAACGGAAAUACUAUAUGGUAUUGAAACAAAAAGUAUGUCGUUUUCUUCGGCUGAAAUAAUUGUUCUUUAUGUACCUUAAGAAGCCUUCUUUUUUCCGGUUUUCCUUCUUUCGUUGUCAUUCUAGAUUAAUUUAAAACACUGUUUAGCUUUUUUCUGACCGCACGAGCUAGUCAUGGCGACGUUUCUUUCAAGUGCUGCCUUAUCAACUGUGGAUGGUAAAUUACGCGCCUUCCAUGGUCGUAACGGAUGACGGAGAAUCAGAGCUCGAUUCCGAAGAGAGAGCCUAAGAAACGGGUAUCACAGCCAAAGAGGUAAGCAGCCGCGCAAAAUACUCACUUCUGGAACGGAAAGGUAGUGACCAAAAGCAAUAAUACGGGACACUUUUGAGAUUCCGUAAUUGGAAUGAGUACACUCUAAAUCUGUUAACGAGGGUCAACUAGAGGGCAAAUCUGGUUCUAGCAGUUUCAGUAAUUCCAGCUCAAAUCCUAGUUUCGGAUAGAAUGUCCAGGUAUCAGUGGUUACUGUCCACUCUGAAUAACCAAAUCGGUUUGCUUUGAUGAUCUUCAACAGUUGCCUUGGGUGACAAGUUAACUUUGAAAAUAUUAGUGCUCAAAACAGCCGUGACGCCUGAAUAAUGGUGUGUGGAAUAACGGAAUAAGACCUCGGUUCUAUUUUGUUGGUUUCCGGAAUGAUAAUGAUUAAGGUUAUGGUUAAGAGGGAUGGACUGGAACCUUCGUAUGGCGACACUUGAGGUAAAAUUCUUGGACCGUCGUAAGACGAAUUGCUGCGAAAACAUUUGACAAGACAAGAAUGUCUCCAUUAAUUAAGAAUGAAAUGUUGGAAGGCGACAGGAAUUUUACGUCCAAUAUCUUCCCACCAAUUAUAA